This 460-nucleotide ribosomal RNA is filed under the name uncultured bacterium. Its description in RNAcentral is "partial 16S ribosomal RNA". It matches the Rfam family "Bacterial small subunit ribosomal RNA", at positions 338 to 795 of the family's 1533-position model. The record is from RNAcentral.
CCUACGGGAGGCAGCAGUGAGGAAUAUUGGUCAAUGGACGAGAGUCUGUACCAGCCAAGUAGCGUGAAGGAUGACUGCCCUAUGGGUUGUAAACUUCUUUUAUAUGGGAAUAAAAUGUUCCACGUGUGGGAUUUUGUAUGUACCAUAUGAAUAAGGAUCGGCUAACUCCGUGCCAGCAGCCGCGGUAAUACGGAGGAUCCGAGCGUUAUCCGGAUUUAUUGGGUUUAAAGGGAGCGUAGGUGGAUUGUUAAGUCAGUUGUGAAAGUUUGCGGCUCAACCGUAAAAUUGCAGUUGAUACUGGCAGUCUUGAGUACAGUAGAGGUGGGCGGAAUUCGUGGUGUAGCGGUGAAAUGCUUAGAUAUCACGAAGAACUCCGAGUGCGAAGGCAGCUCACUGGACUGCAACUGACACUGAGGCUCGAAAGUGUGGGUAUCAAACAGGAUUAGAUACCCUUGUAGUC